GUAGGUUUAUUGCUUGUAGUAAUAUACAGCCUUGGCUCCACUUUGUGAGGCCGUUGCUCUCCCUCAGAGACAGAAUGCUACACUGAACAUCUAAGUAUUUUUAGCAGCGCUGUUCUCCUUCUCCAGUUAAGCCAUAAAAACCAAGGACACAGACAUUUGAAGCAUCUUUUCACAGUUUUGGAUAAUUUAGCAUCAGCCACAACCCAAUGGCUUGCAGCAUGCACCAGCCCAGGGAGUGCCAAGAGCAAACCACAGCCUAUGCUGUGAACACAAGCACCAGUCAUCCUUUCUCAUCCUGCAUAAGACUUAUAGAAUCAUGGAAUAUCCUCAGUUGGAAAGGACCCACAAGGAUCACCAAGGCAAACUCUCUGUGUGAGAGCCGUGUCCAAAUGCUCCUUGAGAUCGGGCAGCUCAGAGCUGCAGGCCGCCAUGAGACUGCAGGCCACCAAGAGGAAGAUGGAGGCUGCCAUGAGGACUCCCCUCAACCUCCUCUGGGACAGAAAGCAGUCUGCUGCGUUACUGGGAUGGCCAUGGGGUCAGGCACCGUUCCCUAGGAGCUCUGAUAGCCCCUCCAGCACUGAACAGGACAGGGAUUUUGCUAGUGGAAGCUUGCCAGGCUUCAGAAGGCACUCUUAGUAUCUCCUGGCUGAGGAACUGAGAGCAAUGUUCCAGCAGCUUAGUGAUGAUUCAAAUUUUCCUUUGAAGUGCCAAUGAGAUUAAAAUAAAAGGCUUUUUUUUUUUUUUUUUAAUCUUCAGAUUACCAGAAAAAUCAGGCUUAAUUCUGGUGGGAAACGGGAACAAAACCGCCUCUGUGGUGACCACAGCACAGCACUGUCACAUGAGGUGCAAACAGAUGACGUUGUGAAACUGAGAGGGCUUCGGAUUCAACCUUGCAGUUCCUCUGCUUGGCUGUGCUGGGGUUCAAGAGCUGGUGUGGGGCUUGUCCUGCCCAUCCUCUUGCCUCCCAGCAGAUCAGUGACGACAAAGCUCUCUGUACCUUACAGUCCCCUGCCAUUCUGUGGACUGGAAGGGACUUGGGAUCAAGGUCAUGUUCCAGCAUGGGAUAGAGCAUUCUGGAGGUCACCUUAUCUAGCUGCGGUGCGGAAUAAUACAAGUACGAGAGAAGGUCAUGAGAUAGGACCAGCAGUGGAAACAACAGGAGAUCGGUUUCUUUAGCCCUUUGUUCUGAGCUCAGCUUUAGCCAUCCAAGAUCUGACAAAAGUAGAGAUAUGGCAGCAAAGGUCCGGAGCACAAGUGUUAUGGGGAGCAGCUGAGGGAGCUGAGAUGGGUCAGUCUGGAGAAAAGGAGGCUCAGAGGAGAUCUCAAUACGAUGAGAGGUGAUGAUCUUAAGUUGCAUCAGGAAAGGUUCAGGGUGGAUAUUAGGAAAAACAACUUCUCUGAAGGAGCACUGAGGCACCGGCAUGGGCUGUCCAGGAAGGUGGUGGAGUCACCAUCUCUGGAGGUGUUUCAGAACGGCGGAGAUGUGGCACUGAGGGACAUGGUUUAGCGGGCAAUAUUGGUGGUAGGUUGAUGGUUGGACUUGAUGGUCUUAGAGGUCUUUUCCAACCUUAAUGAUUCUAUGAUUCUAUGAUGGAGAAUGAAAGCUGUAGUGCUAGCAUUAGCUUUGAACCAAGGAACGAGACAAAGUUUCUUCUGAGAUCGAAGUCUGACAUAUAUUUGUAAGGAAGCUGGACAUUAUUUUCCCAACACAUUUUAAAUUUUUUUCUUGUGGAAGGGAAGUCUUU
This 1745-nucleotide long non-coding RNA is filed under the name Gallus gallus (chicken). Its description in RNAcentral is "lncRNA (ENSGALG00010026099.1)". The record is from RNAcentral. Lineage: Eukaryota; Metazoa; Chordata; Aves; Galliformes; Phasianidae.